GCCGGGUGUGGUGACGCACACCUGUAAUCCCAGAGGCUCAGGAGGCUGAGACAGGAGGAUGGAGAGUUCAAAGCCAGGUUCAGCAACAUCAAGGCACUAAGCAACUCAGUGAGACCCUGUCUCUA
RNAcentral lists this small RNA (125 nucleotides) under Marmota monax (woodchuck). The record is from RNAcentral. Lineage: Eukaryota; Metazoa; Chordata; Mammalia; Rodentia; Sciuridae.